RNAcentral lists this ribosomal RNA (468 nucleotides) under uncultured bacterium. Its description in RNAcentral is "partial 16S ribosomal RNA". It matches the Rfam family "Bacterial small subunit ribosomal RNA", at positions 28 to 507 of the family's 1533-position model. The record is from RNAcentral.
GACGAACGCUGGCGGCGUGCUUAACACAUGCAAGUCGAACGGAAAGGCCCUGCUUUUGUGGGGUGCUCGAGUGGCGAACGGGUGAGUAACACGUGAGUAACCUGCCCUUGACUUUGGGAUAACUUCAGGAAACUGGGGCUAAUACCGGAUAGGAGCUCCUGCUGCAUGGUGGGGGUUGGAAAGUUUCGGCGGUUGGGGAUGGACUCGCGGCUUAUCAGCUUGUUGGUGGGGUAGUGGCUUACCAAGGCUUUGACGGGUAGCCGGCCUGAGAGGGUGACCGGCCACAUUGGGACUGGGAUACGGCCCAGACUCCUACGGGAGGCAGCAGUGGGGAAUAUUGCACAAUGGGCGGAAGCCUGAUGCAGCAACGCCGCGUGCGGGAUGACGGCCUUCGGGUUGUAAACCGCUUUCGCCUGGGACGAAGCGUGAGUGACGGUAAUGGGUAAAGAAGCACCGGCUAACUACGUG